GUGGGGAAUUUUGGACAAUGGGCGCAAGCCUGAUCCAGCAAUGCCGCGUGCAGGAAGAAGGCCUUCGGGUUGUAAACUGCUUUUGUACGGAACGAAACGGUCCGGGUUAAUACCCUGGGCUAAUGACGGUACCGUAAGAAUAAGCACCGGCUAACUACGUGCCAGCAGCCGCGGUAAUACGUAGGGUGCAAGCGUUAAUCGGAAUUACUGGGCGUAAAGCGUGCGUAGGUGGUUGUUCAAGUCUGUCGUGAAAGCCCUGGGCUCAACCUGGGAAUGGCGAUGGAAACUGGGCGACUAGAGUGCGGUAGAGGAUGGCGGAAUUCCCGGUGUAGCAGUGAAAUGCGUAGAUAUGCGGAGGAACACCGAUGGCGAAGGCAAUCCCCUGGGCCUGCACUGACGCUCAUGCACGAAAGCGUGGGGAGCAAACAGGAUUAGAUACCCUAGUAGUCC
RNAcentral lists this ribosomal RNA (450 nucleotides) under uncultured bacterium. RNAcentral's name for it is "partial 16S ribosomal RNA". It matches the Rfam family "Bacterial small subunit ribosomal RNA", at positions 354 to 796 of the family's 1533-position model. The record is from RNAcentral.